AGCGAACGCUGGCGGCAGGCCUAACACAUGCAAGUCGAACGAACCUUUCGGGGUUAGUGGCGGACGGGUGAGUAACACGUGGGAACGUGCCUUUAGGUUCGGAAUAACUCAGGGAAACUUGUGCUAAUACCGAAUGUGCCCUUCGGGGGAAAGAUUUAUCGCCUUUAGAGCGGCCCGCGUCUGAUUAGCUAGUUGGUUGAGGUAAUGGCUCACCAAGGCGACGAUCAGUAGCUGGUUUGAGAGGAUGAUCAGCCACAUUGGGACUGAGACACGGCCCAAACUCCUACGGGAAGCAGCAGUGGGGAAUCUUGCGCAAUGGGCGAAAGCCUGACGCAGCCAUGCCGCGUGAAUGAUGAAGGUCUUAGGAUUGUAAAAUUCUUUCACCGGGGACGAUAAUGACGGUACCCGGAGAAGAAGCCCCGGCUAACUUCGUG
RNAcentral lists this ribosomal RNA (434 nucleotides) under uncultured bacterium. RNAcentral's name for it is "partial 16S ribosomal RNA". It matches the Rfam family "Bacterial small subunit ribosomal RNA", at positions 29 to 507 of the family's 1533-position model. The record is from RNAcentral.